RNAcentral lists this ribosomal RNA (465 nucleotides) under uncultured bacterium. RNAcentral describes it as "partial 16S ribosomal RNA". It matches the Rfam family "Bacterial small subunit ribosomal RNA", at positions 28 to 507 of the family's 1533-position model. The record is from RNAcentral.
GAUGAACGCUGGCGGCGUGCUUAACACAUGCAAGUCGAACGGAAAGGCUCCUGCUUGCAGGGGUACUCGAGUGGCGAACGGGUGAGUAACACGUGGGUGAUCUGCCCUGCACUUCGGGAUAAGCCUGGGAAACUGGGUCUAAUACCGGAUAGGACCACAUUUUGGAUGGUGUGGUGGAAAGUUUUUCGGUGUGGGAUGAGCUCGCGGCCUAUCAGCUUGUUGGUGGGGUAAUGGCCUACCAAGGCGUCGACGGGUAGCCGGCCUGAGAGGGUGUACGGCCACAAUGGGACUGAGAUACGGCCCAGACUCCUACGGGAGGCAGCAGUGGGGAAUAUUGCACAGUGGGCGCAAGCCUGAUGCAGCGACGCCGCGUGGGGGAUGACGGCCUUCGGGUUGUAAACUCCUUUCGCUAGGGACGAAGCGCAAGUGACGGUACCUGGAGAAGAAGCACCGGCUAACUACGUG